Molecule: long non-coding RNA, 783 nt
Filed under: Parus major (Great Tit)
Lineage: Eukaryota; Metazoa; Chordata; Aves; Passeriformes; Paridae
Description: lncRNA (ENSPMJG00000015420.1)
Source: RNAcentral
GUGCUGCAACAUGGCCUCCUCCUCCUUCCCCUCGCGUCCCGCGGCACGGGGCGGUAGGGACCAGAACUAUGAGGCCCCUGAGGGUGGGGGAUGGAAUAAGCUGUUUCAGGAGCUGUGUGAGCUGUCCUGCACACUGAAGACCUUCUAAGCUAAGAAAAUUCUGUAAGCUGAAUUUUUCUUUUCAGUUUUAUUUGCAGGCUAAUUUCUUCUGGAGAAUUGGGCUAUAUUUUUAUAUAUAAAUUCAAUGAUCGUGAUUUCUUGCCUAUAAGAAAUAUAAAAUAUCAACUGCAGAGCCACAAGCAUUUUGCAGGACUCAGUCUUUAAGUAAAACCACAAAAAAUUACAGUUUAAAUGCCUCCUCAGAGCUGUUGCUUUUUUAAAUCUGAUUUUGUGAUCCCAAUUCACUACUUUGCCUCCUGAAUGUCUAUUCAGAGCAGGACUGGAUGUUUAAUUUUACACUGAAAUUAAUGAAGUCUGGAUGACUUUCUACCCUUCCACUACAGUGUCCUUGAGUACAAACCUUUUUGUUUACUCCCUGACAGAAAAGGGAGAGUAAAAAAUUUCAACACAAUUUAUACAAAUAUUGUGCUGUUUUUCUUGUUUUUGACUAUAUUUCAGGACUGUUCCUUUGUGUAUUUAUGCUUUCUAUUGGAUUGUAAUGCCUGAUGAAUUAUUCUUCGGAACAGGCAUGUUUUCCUGCAUUAGAGCCAGAAAUCAGUAGCACUGCUGUGACUGUGAGUCAGAGUCUUCCUGGAAGACUCAUUGCAAGAUGGAAAAAACUGA